This 449-nucleotide ribosomal RNA is filed under the name uncultured bacterium. RNAcentral's name for it is "bacterial SSU rRNA". It matches the Rfam family "Bacterial small subunit ribosomal RNA", at positions 29 to 524 of the family's 1533-position model. The record is from RNAcentral.
AGCGAACGCUGGCGGCAGGCUUAACACAUGCAAGUCGAGCGGGCGUAGCAAUACGUCAGCGGCAGACGGGUGAGUAACACGUGGGAACGUACCUUUUGGUUCGGAACAACACAGGGAAACUUGUGCUAAUACCGAAUAAGCCCUUACGGGGAAAGAUUUAUCGCCGAAAGAUCGGCCCGCGUCUGAUUAGCUUGUUGGUGAGGUAACGGCUCACCAAGGCGACGAUCAGUAGCUGGCUGAGAGGAUGAUCAGCCACACUGGGACUGAGACACGGCCCAGACUCCUACGGGAGGCAGCAGUGGGAAUAUUGGACAAUGGGGCAACCCUGAUCCAGCCAUGCCGCGUGAGUGAUGAAGGCCCUAGGGUUGUAAAGCUCUUUUGUGCGGGAAGAUAAUGACGGUACCGCAAGAAUAGGCCCCGGCUAACUUCGUGCCAGCAGCCGCGGUAAG